CUCGGAUCAGGUAGGAAUACCCGCUGAACUUAAGCAUAUCAAUAAGCGGAGGAA
This 54-nucleotide ribosomal RNA is filed under the name Trichophyton mentagrophytes. RNAcentral's name for it is "partial 28S ribosomal RNA". Lineage: Eukaryota; Fungi; Ascomycota; Eurotiomycetes; Onygenales; Arthrodermataceae. The record is from RNAcentral.